This 72-nucleotide transfer RNA is filed under the name Heterocephalus glaber (naked mole-rat). It matches the Rfam family "tRNA". From Rfam's summary of the family: Transfer RNA (tRNA) molecules are approximately 80 nucleotides in length. Their secondary structure includes four short double-helical elements and three loops (D, anti-codon, and T loops). The record is from Rfam by way of RNAcentral. Lineage: Eukaryota; Metazoa; Chordata; Mammalia; Rodentia; Bathyergidae.
UGGGGUGUAGCUCAGUGAUAGAGCACUUUCUUAGUAUGUGCGAGGCCCUGGGUUUGAUUCCUAGUACUGCAG